UACAGCCAUAUCAUGUUGAAAUGACAGUUCUCGUACAAUCACCAAAGUUAAGCAAUGCUGAACCUGGUCAGUACCUAGAUGGGUGACCAUUUGUGAAUACUAAGUGCUGUA
Molecule: non-coding RNA, 111 nt
Organism: Acanthosepion pharaonis
Lineage: Eukaryota; Metazoa; Mollusca; Cephalopoda; Sepiida; Sepiidae
Source: the annotation of a GenBank genome assembly